Molecule: ribosomal RNA, 370 nt
Filed under: uncultured bacterium
Lineage: Bacteria
Description: bacterial SSU rRNA
Rfam family: Bacterial small subunit ribosomal RNA
Source: RNAcentral
AACAUAGGGGGCGAGCGUUAUCCGGAAUUAUUGGGCGUAAAGAGUACGUAGGCGGCCUGUUAAGUCUGAUGUGAAAUCCCGCGGCUUAACCGCGGAGGGUCAUUGGAAACUGGCAGGCUUGAGUACGGCAGGGGUAAGUGGAAUUCCAAGUGGAGCGGUGAAAUGCGUAGAUAUUUGGAGGAACACCAGUGGCGAAGGCGGCUUACUGGGCCGGAACUGACGCUGAGGUACGAAAGCGUGGGGAGCAAACAGGAUUAGAUACCCUGGUAGUCCACGCCGUAAACGAUGAGCACUAAGUGUCGGAUAUAAAUUCGGCGCUGUAGUUAACACAUUAAGUGCUCCGCCUGGGGAGUACGGUCGCAAGACUGAA